CGAGUUCCCUUACGAUCACCGAUGUUAAGCAACAUCGAGCUUGAUCAGUACCUAGAUGGGUAACCGCUUGGGAAUAUCAGGUGCUGUAAG
Molecule: ribosomal RNA, 90 nt
Filed under: Acanthosepion pharaonis
Lineage: Eukaryota; Metazoa; Mollusca; Cephalopoda; Sepiida; Sepiidae
Source: RNAcentral